RNAcentral lists this long non-coding RNA (20808 nucleotides) under Gossypium barbadense (sea-island cotton). RNAcentral describes it as "long non-coding RNA (GBAR_LNC000974)". The stretch from base 3296 to 3444 matches the Rfam family "MIR7502 microRNA precursor family". Lineage: Eukaryota; Viridiplantae; Streptophyta; Magnoliopsida; Malvales; Malvaceae. The record is from RNAcentral.
UUUGGCGUCAAUCCUCUAUUGGCCUGAUAGAGACGUGAGCAACAUGAAAAGUGCAAGGUAGAAAGAAUGGUGUGAAGAUAUGAUUAUCCUAAUCAAAUCUUCAAGUGGGAGAUUUUGGUUGAUUAAUGCCAAGUAAAAAGUUGGUUGCAUUGAAAGCCACCAAAUUAGGCUAGUAGUUGCAAGUUGGAAACUUAUUAAAGAGAUAAUUGUUGUUUUAGUCUCUUACAUUAAUGGGUUAUUUAUAGUUUGGUCCCUGAAGCUCAACUAUUAAUAGCCUAACCAUUUUAGCAUUUAAGAUCAUCCCAAAAUCAGAGAAGUUAGAGAGUGUUGUUUCUCCUUUUAUCAAAAGAGAACUUUCAUUAUUUUCUCCUUAUUAAAGUGAGAUAAGUUGUAAUUCCUAAUUUUCUCAUAGUGAAAUUCUUUCUAUCCUUGCCCAUGGUGUUUUUCACCUAUAUUAAUUAGGGGGUUUUCCACGUAAAAUCUCUGUCUUCUUUGUUCUCGCUGUUAUUCUUUCACAAUUUCCCUCUACUCGACGACUGUAUUCGCAACAAAUGGUAUCAGACCAGGUUUGGAUGUGUAUAUCUACUUAUUACAUUCUCUGCGGUUGCCACUAAAAGGUGGAUCCUCCACAACAGAAAGUUAGAUUAUUACUUGCUCACCAAAGGUGUUGGGCAGUAUUUACAUAAAAUAGUGAAAUAGUGGGAGCUAUUUGUUAUAGAAGCAAUGGAAACAAAAUUUGAGAUUGAAAGUUAGAGAGUUUUAGAGAAUGUUGUUUCCAAUGCUUCUAUAAUAGAUAACUCCCACUAUUUCACUAUUUGAUGUGAAUAGUGCCCAACAAUUUCAGUGCGUAAGUAAUAAUCUAACUUAUGUUCUAUUGUGGAGUAUCCACCUGUCAGUGGCAACCACAGAGAAUAGGAUAAGUAGAUAUACACACCCAAACCUAGCUCUGAUACUAUUUGUUGCGAAUAAAACAAAAUUGCAACUCAUAAUUUGAGAGAAUAAAGAAGACACAGAUUUUACGUGAAAAACCCCUAAUUAAUAUAGGGGGAAAAAACCACGAGCAAGGAUAGAAGAAUUUCACUAUGAGAAAACUAGGAAUUACAACUUCUCUCACUUUGACAAGGAGAAAACAAUGAAAAUUCUCUCUUGAUAAAAGGAGAAACAACACUCUCUAACUUUUAUGGCUGCGGAAUGAUUUUCGGAUUGUGAUGAUCUUAAAUGCUAAAAUGGUUAGGUUAUUUAUAGUUGAACUUCAGGGAUCAAACUAUAAAUAACCCAUUAAUGUAAGAGACUAAAACAAUAAUUAUCCCUUUAAUAAUUUUCCAACUUGCAACUACUAGCCUAAUUUAGUGGUUUUUUUGAUGGCUUUCAAUGCAACCAACUUUGACUUGGCAUUAAUCAACAACAGUGCUGUCAUGGCAUACUCUUGAUUAGAACUGCAGUGAAGUGGAUGACAUACUUAAAUUAUGGUAAUCAAACUAUAGGUAUGCAAAUGACUGUUACCAAGUCUAAAACUUUGGUAUCACUAAAUUAGAACAAGUAUGAACUUACUUGGCCACUAAGUGAUGGAUCUAUCACUGCUCCAAAUAUUAAGUUGGCAGCAGGAUCCACAAGAUCAUAUAUAACCUCAGCUGCAGCAUUGACCUACAGAAAAAAAAAAGAAAAAAAGAUCACAUGUCAAAUGAUGCAUACGAGAAGAGAAAUAAAAUAACUCACUUGUAUUGCUUGACUGAGAGAGUUAGUAGCAAAGGAAUACCUCAAACAAUGUUAGAUCACUUCCACCAGUUAUGUUCCACACGAUUCCAGUGGCUCUUUCUAUACCAAGAUCUAACAAAGGUGACUGGAUUGCAUUUAGUGCAGCAUCUCUUGCCCUUGUUUUUCCUACAAACCAGACAAAGUAACUUGUCAAUAGAAAGGCAAUUUAAAUACAUAAUUACCAACAAAUAAACUAAAGUGUUGCAAUGGGAAGAGAUCACGACCAUAUGACAUGAAAAAUCAUCAAUAAGUACUGCCAAUAAAAGGAAAAAGAAAAGAAAAUGGAUAGUCUACAAUCACUUGUAUUUUGUUACAUGGCGAAAAGAAAAGAGGUAGAAACUUCAUGCAUUCAUGGUCGAAACUUUGGUGCAUUAUCUUCUGAGAAAAAAGAAAGUCCAAUCCGUACCGUCUUUAUCAUUUAUGAAACACAACUCAGAAACAUGUAACAUGAUGGUGGUCCAAGUUCUUUGCAUUAAGGUAUGAAUGAACCAUGCAAUAAGCUUGAGAAACCUUUAUUUUUUUCUCCUAUUUUCACCCUACUUCGACAUUAUAAACGCUAAUGAUCUCUUUGAAUUACCAGUAGCAGUUCCUAUCCCCAUUAGUGAAGAACCUGCAUUUGCCAUUAUAGUUCGCACAUCAGCAAAGUCCACAUUCACUAGCCCUGGAAUCUGCAAUGUGGAGAUUCAAAAGCAAUUAGGGUCCAGAAGUAUGGUUCCAAGCUUCUAAUACUUCAACUUCUGUGCCGUCCAAAGCAGUUCACAUAUGAAUGUUGGAUUGGGAGGUUUGCAUACCGUAAUUAUAUCAGAGAUACCACGAACACCUUGUCGAAGAAUAUCAUCAGCCAGAUUAAAUGCUUCUGUUACUGGAGUAGAUGGGGAAACUGCAGUCAACAACUUGUCGUUUGGAAUAACAAUUAGCGUGUCAACAUUUUCUCUUAGAGCUGCAAUUCCUUCCUGUGCUUGAACAGUCCUUCGUCUUCCUUCAAAAGAAAAAGGGGUAGUGGCAAUACCGACAGUUAAUAUACCCAUGGACUUCGCAAGCCCUGCAAUUACAGGAGCUCCCCCGGUUCCAGUUCCUCCGCCCAUUCCAGCCUGCAAAUGCAUACUAGAAAUCCUAUGUAAAAUGUUAAAGAAAGAUACUAGAAAACAAAUAAAAGCCAAGAUCCCAAGUGUUCAUCCUAACUUUGAACUAAUAUGAAUUUAUCACGACCCCAUGCGUUACAUUACCAGAAGAAACGAUUUUUCCAAUGGAAAAUUAGAGAACAAAUAGUUUUAUGAACUAAUAUGAACCAUCAAAUAUAAGACAGAUCAGACUCUAGGCAACAAUAUGAUCAGAUAUACAACAAAAGUUUUAUGGAUUUUUACCUUAAAUGCUAGCAACACAUAUUGGGUGCCGGUGCUCACCUCAUAAUAACAACUUAAGCUAGGGUAAAAGUACCAUGAAGGCCCCUGUACUAAAAGUCAAAUUGCAUUUUGCUCCCUUUACUCACAAAACGGGCAAAUUAGUUCCAGUAUGUUAAAUCAAAGAGUAAACUACAUUCUGUUAAAAUUUUUAUCCAUUUCUAUAAAUUGUUAAAAACUGGCGUGGCUAAUGGAAUAAACGGAUAGUUAUACGUGACGUGCCACUUGCACCUCAUGCAGACAUAUAGGGACCAAAUUUUAACAGUAAAAGUGGAUGGAAUUUUUAACAAAAGGACCAGUUUGCUCUUUAAUCUAAUGUAUGGCGACUAGUUUGCCUAUUUUUUGAGUAGAGGGGGCAAAAUGCAAUUUGGCUUCUAGUGUAAGGGCUUCCAUGGUACUUUUACCGUUAAGCUAGCUCCCAGAGAAAUAAUAUAUAAUUCUUACACACCUUUACACUAGACUUCGAGGAUAUUCAUUAAUGAUUCAAUUGAUUCAAUGGACUUCAUGAAACAAGAAACCAUGUAUCAGCAGCCAAAUUGUAUUUAUUAUAUGAUUAAUGCAUAUCACUUUAAUUAGGUCGAAAGGAAUAUUUUCUUCAAGGAAUAUCCUUCACUAGUCUCCAUGAGGAGUCCGCUUAAAAGUAAUAAACAGAACAUAAAAUUGUUGCAUAGCAUAUUUUGCUCAAUUUUGCAUACUAUUAUAAACAAAAGCAACAGAAUAGUGACGGUUUAGAUUCAAGACACUCAUGAAAUCAGAUUAGUAACACUAACAGUAAUAAUCCAAACUCUACUCAAAUGAUUAAAACUGUAGAUUGGGAACUUACAGUUACAAAAACCAUAUCAGCACCAUAAAGAGCCUCUUCUAUUGACUCUUUGCUCUCUUUCGCAGCAUUCAUGCCAAUUUCUGGAUUCCCACCAGCACCAAGACCCCUAGUUAGCUCCUGACCGAUUUGCAAACGAUGCUUGGGGAAGACAGGUGACAUUUUCAUAGCUUGAACAUCUGUGUUAACGAUCCAAAAUUCUACACCCUGCAUUUCGCUCUCUAUCAUACGAUUAACAGCAUUUGACCCACCACCACCAACACCGAUAACUUUGAUCUUAGCUUCAUUGUUAUUAUUUGAACUAUUCAUGUCUCCUAAGAACUCGGUGACACUUCCACUAGAACUCUCUUUUCUUGGAUUGGUUAUCAUAUUGUUCCCUUCACCUCUAAGCAUUGGAACUUCAUGAUGUAGGUUUAGAAAACGGUCUUUGUUUUGAUACGGACUGACACUGUGAGAAUUGGUGGAACAUCUAAGAUGAGGCAUGAUAGACCUUAGGCCGGCCCUUGAAAACCCGAUUUUCCCAUCACAGAGCUUAAGGCAGCUAAGUCUGCCUGUAGGAUUUUCCAAUAACACUCUCCCACCAAGAACAUUAAGUACCCCCAUUGGUCUAAUAUCAGAAGCAGUUGCCAUUUUAUAAGGCAGCACUAGGAAUCAAAUUUAUGAUACAAGCCAGAUAAUUUAGAAGCCUAAAUAGCUUAAAUUUCAAGUUUGCAACUCAAUUUUCAUUCAAUACCUGCAUAAAACCCACAAUUAAAUCAAAAUUAUAUUCCCAAACACCUAGUAAAACCCAUUAGCUAAAACACUAUCAGUGUCCAUUUUGCAGAUUGACCUUAAAACUAAAGGUAAUCGCUAAAGGGCUAUAACUUUCUCAAAUGAAGAGCAUAAAAGUGAAGUAUAACAUCAAACAAGUUGCCAAUAUACAUUCAGAAAUUCCACCAUAUGCACACGCACACUACCUAAAAUGCCUCAACUUUGAAGUUCACAGCAAACCAAAUUUACAAUUCAAAGUAAAAGGUUCAAAGAUAAAGUGUACAAACAAGACAAAAUGCAUCAAAAAUUUUAUCUGGGUAUUAAUUAAAAGGAGAAACGAAAGAACCUGAAAGAGAUUCAGAGUGGACUAAACCAGAAACAGCAAAGUUCCCUCAGGGCAUUUGAGUGGCUGAAAAGCCCAAAGAUUGUGGAAAUGGGUGCAAGGUUUUUUCUUUUUUGGAUUUUAGCAAUGCGGUUUCCUUUGCCAGGUUGUUGUUAAAAAAUAAUAUUACAAAUCCCAACAUAAAGAAAAUAUCUUGUGAAGUAAAGAGAAGAAGGCCAGAAUUUGUGAGAAAUAUGAAUAGUGCCCUUAUCGGCCAGGGUUUAAGUGUAGCCCUUAAAAAUGGUUAAACCCUUUUUUGUUUUUGUCUUGAUUGUCACUGGUGGGACUGGGGGCUCGUCACAAACAAAAGUUCUUUUCUUUCUUUGGAUGGAAGAAAUGAAAGAAUAAGACGUUUCAUUUAAGUGGGGAUAAUAGCCCAAGUUUCCAUUUUUCAUUUUCUCACAAUCCAAACAAAGGUCUGAGUUUCCAAUAGUCGACAUCAAAGGCCUCUCUCCCAAGUCCCGACCCACUCUUUGCUUUUUCCAUUUUCACUAGCCUGUUGUAAUAUUAGUUGUGGAUUUCAAGAUCCUUUGUGAUAAGAGAAGAUUCUAGCCCACGAAUUGAUGCUUCCUUACUCAAAUUAACCCCUCAAAAAAAACUUCGAUGAUAUUAAUUCCAUCAAUACCACUUUAUAUGAUUUAAUCAAAUAAAUAAAAUAAAUAAAAUUUAUAUCAUUCAUAAAUCAUCCUUUAUUCGAACUAAUACUUCAAAUAUUUUGAUUCAAUCCAAUUAACCAUAAAGUUUAAAUCAAGAAAAAAAUAUUUAACAUAUUUUUUACUUUUAACUCUUAACUUUACUCGUGGUCAAUUUGUGACUUAAUUCAAUCAACCGAUUUAAUCUUAAUAAAAUAAAUCAUUAAUAAAUUAUAAAAUUUUAAAAAAAAAUCAAUUCAAUCACCAAUUCGUUCUAUCCAACUGCUAUAUUUUAUUUCUAUCCAACUGCUAUAUUUUAUUAUAUUAUAUGAUCUCAAGGUGCUGAAUUCUAAACUUUCUGUAUACUUACAUUCUCAAAAAUUAGGAAUCAAACAUUAUCGAUGAAACAAUUUAUCGCCCCACGAAAAUCUUGGGGCCAAAUUUGAGACUAAGAUGAUAUACAAGCAACGACAUACCUUUCCAUGACUUGUAUGAACACUAAAACCAUAUACAUACAUAUAUAUAUCAUCAGUUUAGACUUCAGAAAUUUGAUUAUUCAUAAAAAUCAUAUUCCCAAAAGAAGACUUUAUAAAUAUCCACCAACUAUCAUGUGUCUAAAGGUGUUUGAUGAUGUUCUUCAGUGUGAGGUUAUGUCAUUGGUUUUGAGAGCUUCCACCAUCAAUGCCUGCAUCAUAUUCCAUGGAUUUUUACAUUUUAUAGCAUAGGCAUUGCAAUUACUGAUCUAAGAUGAUGAGGGAAACAAAUAGAAAAGAGAAGGGUAAAUAUCCAUUUUCGUACCUGAAGAAGGUUUAAAUUGGUACCUAAGGUUUGCUUCAAGGUUCAAUUUAGUACCUAAACUAUGUUGGCCCAAUUAAAUACCUGAACUUUGCUUUAUAGUUCAUAUUGGUCCAAAUAAGACAUUUACAGUCGGUACCAAUUCAAACUAAAAAGCCAAGUUUAGGUACCAAAUUGAACCUUAAAGCCAAGUUUAAGUACCUAAUUGGAACCAAAAAAACCUUAGGAACAUUGAAGCAAAGUUUAGGUACCUAAAUGCAUAUUUACCCAAAAAAGAAAUAAAAGAAUAACUAAAAUACUUGCCUUGAGCAUGCAUCUUCUUUUCUGGCUCAUAAUGGACCACUUAGAUUUCUUCUCAUUACUCUUAGUUUCUCUUUAGCUUUCUGGGCUUUGGUUUGUGUUUUCAUUGACCAUUCCUCAAAGUACUGCAAGGACAAAAAAGAAAAAGAAAAAGAAAAAAAACACCAAAAAUAGGAUGAACAAAGCAAAAAAAUGAAUCUAGUAUGAUGCUUGUAGCCAUCAAUGCUUAUAUUUCCUACUCUUAUGCAUGUUACCCCCAUCAUAAAGUUCUAUAACUUUGCCCUUCUGAUCAUCUUUUUGUAUUCUCUACUUCAUAUGGUGCAUUGUAAAGCACAUGUAAUCAGUUGAAUGAUUUACCUGUUGCUUUCUUUUCCUCUCGAGUUCCACCUGUUGAAAUGUAAGUAAAAUGAGAUUAAGCUGCCAUAUUAUAUAUGAUAAAAGCUACAUCAAGAUCUGAAAUUUUGAUAAAUGCGAAAAGUAAUACGAAUGUCACCAAAGCCUGCUUGAGAUGAGUAUUCUCUUGUUUCAAUUGGUUCAAUUCUGCUUCUAGCUCAACUGUAUAUGCCUGUUAAAUAUAACCAACCUAGUAAGAAUUGAAGUAUUAUGCCUAUAUACUAAUGACCUACACAACAGAAGAUUAUUUCUCUACCAGAAAAUAUAUAUGUAUAAUUGUAUACACAUGCAUAUAUAUGCAUUCACUUCCAGCAAACAGUAGUUGUAGGUAGUACCUGUUUUCUAGCUCUAGACCUUGCAGCUGAUUCCCUAUUCUUAAUCAUCCUGCGUUGCCUUCUCUCGACUACUUUUUCUAUUGGACCAUCAAUGAUUCUUUUCCUUCCUCGUAGUCCACCUAUCUCUAUCCCAAAUUGAGUGGCUGCAUUAUCAACUUGAUUGGUACAUACCCCAUCUGGUGAUACCGGACUUAUUGGUGAUACCACUCCCAUUGCCUGUCCCGGUCCAUAGCCACCAGCUGCACCUACUUUUCCGUUAUAAAAGAUGGCUGUUGACAGUGGGGCAGCAGCUGGCUGGUAGCCGCCACCCCCCUUACCAUCAUUAAGAUAGCCUGAUGAGUCACCAAGGACUCCACUUGGAGGCAUUGUUUGAUAUGUACUCCCACCAAAGCCACCACUGCCACCCAUUCCCAUAAUUGGUCUGGGAACAAAACUCGGACCCACUGCAGGGUUAUUGCUAGCUUGAUGCAACCCGAACUGUUGUUGAUGUUGUGAAUGCGGCGGUACUGCCGGUGGUACGCAUGGUUCCCGAACUACACCUGCCUUAACCAAGAAAUCUUCCAAGGUCAUUUCCCCAAAAGUCGGUUGUCGAGUACUAGUAUUCUCAGCAUUCUGCACAUUGCUCUUGUUACUCUGUCCUUGUCCUUGCUGCACUUUAUGUAUCUCAGACCAAACUUCAUCGACAGUUUUCCGACACAAUGGUGCCGGAAGUGAAAGCGAGCCUUGUCGAGGCAAGCUAGACUGCCUAGCUACACCUUUACUGCUUGCUGUUUCAUUCAAAGAUAAGUUAACAUGAUUGCUAACCUGUUCAUUUACACCAUUGUUGUGAUGAUUGUUAUUAACGGAGUUUGUAGCUUGGUUUUCUUCAGCAUUCCAAAUGCUGGUAAGGAACUCGUCCAUGUUCAUCGACCCAAAGUUCUUCCCACAUAACGUGUGCUGGAACUCAUCGAGAGUGAGGGAAUAAAUUGAGGAUUGUCUUCCAAGGGCCGAUAAUGGAUGAUUCUUUAGCUGCUGGUCCACCUCCUUCAAUGUGGACUCGACCUCGCCAACCUCAGAGUUCUCAACCACCAUUUUUGCGAUGAAAUCUUGCUUUAAACUAUCAAAAACGAGAUUAUAAUCGAUAAAUAAGUAUUCUAGCAGAUUGUUACAGGUGGGGCCAAAGCAUGAUUCUUGAAAAUCAACCCAACAUGUAAGCAAAAACUAAAAUUUAAGGGAAAAAAAAGAUAAGUUCGUCCAGAAGGGUGCAUUAGACUUUCACUUAGAACAGUCAAGUAAAUAAAUUGAAGCACAUAAUGGACAUUAAUGGGAGUUUAAGUUCAGUUAAGUUAAUUUAACAAUGGAGGAAAUAGAAUAAUAAAUAAGAAAAUGAUAAAUUGGGGUAGUGUAUUUUUUUAAUGUAAAAGAUAAAAAGCUUCAAAAGUGGGUGAACAAUAGGAAUCUAUUAGCUUAUCUUGUUUCACUCCACCAUCCUCCAUGAAUUGAAAUAAAAUAUUGUUUUAUCAUGUCAGAAGAUAUUACAAGUGCUUUAUAUUUUCGAUAUUUAUUUAAAAUUUUUAUGUCAAUUUUCUUUUGAUACUAUAUCAAUUGUGAUUAGUUUAAUAUUAACUCACAUGUAGAAAAAAUAAUAAUUAUAAGUAAAUAUAAUUUUAAAACUAGAACAAUAAUGGUACCUACCAAUACAAAUUAUGGUCAUGUUUCCAAAUGUUAUAAUAAAAAGGAGACCUACAGUACAAAGAUACCAUCUAUGGCCUAUCUAGACAACAGCUCAGGCUACAAUUAAAUAAUAAUAAAAAUAUUUAAAAUUAAUUAUAAAAAAUAUAUUAUUUUAUCUAUCUAUAUUAUUAAUUAAAUCUUUAAUUGAGCUAAUUCCACAAAUAAUUCAGACACCAAUUAAGUUAAAAAAAAUAAUUAAGCUAUAUUAGUAAUACUAAAGAUAUAUAAGUAAUUUAAUUUUUUAAAAACUAAAAUUCCUAUUUUUUCUUUCACCUUUCUAUUCAAUUUUUAUCAUUUUUAUUUAAACUAUUCGCAUUUUUUAUUUCUUUAUUGAUAAUUAUUUGCAUUGCUUAAUUUCUUUAAUAAUAAUGAUUUUUAAAAGGUAAUUAUUACUUACCUAAUAAUUUCUAUGAUUUUUAGGCUAUUGUGGUUUUUUCACCUAAUCUUUAAAAAAAAAUUCACCCACAAUAGUUGACCUCAAAUCUAAACAUGAAACCUUUUAAAGAUUCAAGCUGUGACUCCUAACCAUGAAUUCCUUUACACCCAAUUGAUUUCUAAAUUUUUCAUAAUGGUUAAAAGAUAAUAUUCAAUAUUCAAUAUAAAAAUUAUUAAAAUUAUAUUUUAUAUAAAUAUAAAAUAUUUUAAAUAGAAAAAAGAAAAUAUAGCAGGAGCAGAACCAAGAAGAUGAUCUUUAUAUAGUGGAGCAAAGAUAUUGGUGGGCCAAGAGGGGAGCUACAAAGAAUCUUUCCUAUUUUGGAAAAGAUGAUAACAUACAUUGACUAAUCAAAUAUCGCUAAAUUAAAAUUAAAUCCUUUUUUUUCUUCUCAUAAGAUGAUAAAAAAGGGCUAGCUACCUAACAAAAAUACCUACUAUUCUGCAGUUUUUCAUAUUUUUCAUAUUCGAAUUCCGUGACUAUUUUUUAAAAUAAUGUUUUCUUUAAAAUUUAAAGAUGUGUUUGAAUAUGUAUUUUCUUUUAGAUAUGUCUUAUCAUUACAUCGACUUUUGUAAAAGUUGGUGUAAUGAUAAAAUACACGAUUGGGAAAAAAAAUGUUGCAUGAUAUAUAGAUAAUUGAACGACAUAUGGAUCAGGCAAACUGAAUGAUACAUAAAGGAGCUAAAAGGCUUACCCUAAGUUAAAUUAAUGACCAAGUAAUUGAGUUGAUAAAUAAAUAGGGUGAUAGGAGUGUUUGAUGUAUGUAGUGACAAGUGAUUUUUGUUUAUUAUUAAGAUAAAUCUUAUGUUCAUGCCUUCUCUAACCCUUAUCAAAAUAUAAUAUAUAUGCAUGGAAUGGGACAAGCCAUAGAGAGAAUAUAGCUUCAAAACAAGGAUUGCAAGAACACAUAAAGGGAUCCCUAUUAACGCAUUUCUUGAACCAUAAAAGAAGCAAAGAAAGAAACUGAAAAAGCAUGUAUGAACAUACCUGGUUUCAACAAAGGAAAAGAGAUAUGAUUGGAGCUGAAAAAAGAUGAAAAAAUAAGAGGGUUAUUGUGGUUGAAGAAAAUGGUUAGGCAGUGGGGAAUAUAAACAAACACGUAGAGGGUGUAAAAGUGAGUUUAAAGUUUCCCGGCGCAGUGGGGUCCAAAAAAGUCAAUUGGAAUCGACCCAAAGGAAGGGAAAACUUUAUAAAAAUUGGGUAAUUGUGCUGUCUCCCCAGUUCCAAAAUGGUAUCGGCGUUGCUUUGAUCGACACGUUUCGGCCAUGUGGCUUGCUCUGCUUUGCUUUACUGCUCUUAGCUCAACGCGUGUGCUGCUGCUGCUGCCUCUUUUGUUCAUCUUAAGUCGACGGAAAGUGAAACCCUUCUCCGUCAGCAACCUAAACCUCCCAUUUUACUACUUCUUCGCUUGUGUUUAUUGGUAUUAAAAUAUUCCUAUUCUACAUCAAAUACAGGAAGGAAUGCUUUUGAAACAUAGGUUAAAUCCAUCAUAUUAUUAAUUUGAUUAGUCAAUUGGUACAUAUGACUCUAAUCAAAUAAAUUAUAAAAAUUUACAAAAUUAGAAAAAUUAAAAAUUUUAAAAUCGGAUUAAUCAAUUUUUUAACGUGUUUCAUACUAGUCGCAAUCGUUUUUGUCUUUCAUCGGAGUCUGACCAUAUUUUAACUUAUUUCUAAUUCAACCAAUUUGAUUCAAUUAUGAAAACACUGAAAAGAACUGACCAUGAAGCUUAUUAUAAUCCGUGUUGUUUGGAUUGGACCAGUUAAUCUGACUGAUUGAAUCGGGAAUUGACUGAAAAAUUAAUCUAAAAGUGGCUUUAAAAUAAUUAGGCCAAAAAUCUAUAUGAAACCAGAUAAAAACUGAUUCAACCAAUUUUUUUAUAUUAACUAGUAUAAGAAACAUUGAUUAAAAUUGAUUUGAAAUUGCUUAGAAUCGAACUCAAAAUCUCAUCAUAAAUAUGCAGUUAUAAUAUUUGAAAUCAAUAUUUCAAAAACUAAAAAGACUAAAAAUGAUAAAAAAAACUAUUUUUUUUGUUAUGCAUACAAAUAUAUAUAUUUCUUUUUAAUUAUUAUUUGACAAUAAUAUUGUGCCUAUUAAUAUAUUUUACCAAUAACAACAAUAUCAAUUGAGUUAUAUUAAUAUAUUUUAGCUUAUUGUUUAAUGAGUUUUAGCUCGAUUGGAAUGGCAUUGUUGUUAACGCAGGAGGAUAUGAGUUCAAUUACGCUGAAGUGUAUUAUCCUCUUAUUUAUGAAUUGGGGAAAGGUUAUGAAUAGAAGAUUAUUCAAAUAUAUAUAUUAGCCUAUGAGAGUAAGGGUCCGUUUGUUUAUAUGUAAAAUAUUUUCUAUAUUUUCCAUAUAAAAUAGUUUGGUCAACGGAAAAUGACUUACAGGUUAAGAUAAAAUAAACCUUUUUUUCCUGUAGAAUGAUUUAACCUUUUGAAAAGCGUAAGUCAUUUUUCGGAAAAGAGAUCAUCUAUAGACAAUUUUAUUUUUAUAUAAAAAUUAACUUAAAUCAAACUUAAUAUUAUUAUAUUCAUAAUAAAUUUCAUUUUUAUUUUUUAAAUAUUUAAAAUAUUAUAUUUUUCAAUAUUAUUAAACAUACAUAUUUAAUUAUUUAUAUUUAAUCAUAUAAUAAAUUAUUAAUAUAAUUUAUUAAAAUAUUUUAAUUUUAUUUUAAUAAUAAAUUUUAAAAAUAAUAAUUUUAAAUAAUAUUAUUCACAUGAAAAUAUUCAAUAUUAAUAUUUUAAUAAUAAAUAUUUAUUACAAUUAUAAAUAUAUUAAUAAUAAAUAUUUUGUAGUAUAAAGGUUAAAAUAUGUCAUAAGUCUGUGUAUACUUUAACAUAUUUAUAAUUUAGCCUUUGUACUUUUAUUUUCAAGAAUUUAGUCCCUUUACUUUUCAAAUUUAAAAAUCAAGUCCAAUUGUUAACAUCGUUAAUUUUUUUUUGUCAAUUUUGUUGAUAUCACAUUUUUAAAUAAAAAAUAUUCACUUAGUAGUCAUGUAAUUAAAGAAUGACGUUUUAAUGAAUCUGAAUUUAACAUAAUAUUUUUAAUAUAUGAAAAAACAAUGUAAAAUAUAAAAUUAUAGAUAAAAAUAGAUUCAAUUAAACAAUGAAAAAAUUAAGAAAAUCUCAAAUAUAUAUUUGUUUAAUUGAAAACAACUUUUAUGAAAUAUUUUUAAUAAAUCGACUAAAUAAUAGAAAAUAUUUUAUACAGAUUCAUCCAAGAAAAUAUUUAAUAUAUUUAAAAAAAAAAGUUAAAAUGUAUUCAAAUGUGAUACUACAAAGUUAUGGUUAGACAUGUGAGGCACGUGCAUUUUUUUUUUUUUGUGGGACAGUGUGAAAAGUGAAUGAUGAAAAUAUGGGUUUAGAAUUUAAAAGGACGACAGCAUCAUGGGUGGAUUCGUUGGAAUAUGGGAAUGGGAUUGGUAAGGUCGCUGUUUUAGGGGCUGCUUUUGGCUAUUUUUGCAUUCUUCUUAUGAUUUAAGUUUAAUUUUAUUGAAUUUGGGAUAAUAUUUAGAUAAAAUUCUCUUAUUGAUGUGGACUUCAAGAUUUGAAUUUGAUUUAGAUGUUUGAGGAACAAAUUCACUUCCACUUCUUUGAGAACAUAUAAGAUCGAACCACCAUCAAAUGCAUCCUUCAUUUCAAUGUAGUAGUAAGUAUAUUUGAAGCUAUCAACGAAUGUUGCACUGUUUGAUAGCAAUGGUGAGACGCAUUGUGCUCCCAAGAAAACAUAAAUUCGAACCUUAAAAGAUAAUAUUAUUGAGAAGUGUAGUCACGAAUCCUGAAUAUAGACCGUAAAACAAACAUGUUAGAUAUCAAGAUAAAAAGUAUGUUUGAACGAGUCACUGAUUUAGCCUCUUUCUCUGAAUUAGUGUAUUGAUCAAUUCUUUAUUUAAUAGAUCUAGCUAAUCGGUCUAAUUCUAACAACCUUAAGAAAAGGGAAUUUGCAGCUCUUUCAUUUCUUUUUGGCUCAUUUACAAUGAUGAAUGUAUAUAAUUUGCAGUGCUCCUUAUGUAUAUAUUUUGCAGUUCUCCUAUCAGUACAUUCUAGAAUUUAAUAAAAAGUUUUCUAAAGUUUCGACAUUUUCCCGAGAUUUGUUGAUGUUGCUUAAGUGGGAAGAGAGAGAAACAAAAAAGAGGGGAAGAUUAAUAUUUUUUAAAUCAAAUCAGUGGCCGAACUGAUUAGGUCAUUGGUUAGAUUAAAAAUUAUUAAAAUUUAAAAAAAAUUAAAAUCUUGAUUCAACUGAUAUUUUAGCCAAUUCAACUGGCUCAUGAUCUAAUCGGUUCAAAGACACUUUACAAAUGGUCUCUCGGUCGAUUCCCGAUCUAACUGAUCUGAUUCGGUUCAAACAACACUUGAAGACAAGAUUAAGAGAAUAGUGGGAAGUUCACACUAUAUGGUGUCGAAAGUCUUAUUCCUUAAGAUAGUCUCUUCUUACUUUUAAUGAGUGGGAGCUAGUUAUGUAUACUUUUAGACGAUUAUUUUUUUCUUGAUGUUCAUGGGAUGUGUCAGUGACUUUGCUAAAGUGUGUGUUAAUAUAUAUCCCUUGAGUCACGUAUCACUUCAUCGGAUCUCUAAAAUCUUUAUAGUAAUAAGUUAAUCCACCUUACAAGUGACAUAUGAGGUAUGGGGAGAUCUUUACUAUUGAUAAGACAGAGUUACGUGGUGUACAUUAUAGAAGCUAUGAAAACCUUUAGAAAGAGAGAGAUUGCCAAAUUAGUUAUACCGAUAAUCCUUAAGGGUUGUAUUUGUUAAUAUCCCUUAUUGUGAUCUUUGAUUCUAUUAAACAAAAAAGGAUCACUAAUUUUCUUGAAGAGUAACUACAUAAAAUGUAACAUUUUGCUUUAUUCCAAAAUGUGGGAUUAAGGGAAUAAGAUGGAUAAAUUACAAUGACCAUAAAUGAAGGAAAGUAUUGAUGAGAUGCCAUAAUUUUUUUAAGAGUAAAUUAUAUUCAAGGUUAAUCAACUAUUAAUAAGUUUGUGUCUUGGUCACUUAAACUAUUCGAAAAUUUUUAUUUAAAUCAUUGGGAUGUUAAUUUUUUCUUUUUAAAAUCCAAGUAACGAGCUCCAACCAAUGAUUUCAACAAUUCAUAGGGUGGAUCAAUAUCCAUUGAGAAUAGAAGAACCUUAGAUCCAAGUUGGUCUAAUGGUCAGUAUCAGAGAUCAAAGAAGAAAGUUGUUUGGAUUUGAGUUUGUAGAUUCGUGACUUUUAAAAUUGCUUCAUAAAGAAAAAAAGAAUUGUGGAAGAGAAGGAGAAGAAGAGCUUCUGAUUGAUGCAGAUAACAUGAAUAGAGAAGGCCAUACAACGACGAUAUUAACAACCCAUUCACUUAAAUGAAAACUUUUAAAUAGUUCAACGACCAUUUUAUAACUUUUUGAAAUUGAGUGAUUAAAACGUAAACUUACUAAUAAUUUUACCCUUAUUUUAAUCAGCUUUGGGUGAAAAGGCCAAAACUUGUAAGAAAAUAAUUUUAAAAAAUGGCCAAAAUCUAUUGUUUGUAUUGAAGUCCAUAAGUUAACAACAUCUUCUAAUUCAACCAUGUAGAAACUACAAAAGAACCAUCUAGGAACUGACAAACAAUCGCAUACACACCAAUAUUUGGAUAUAAAGCUCCAUAAAUUAGAUCCUUAAAAAUAAAACCCUUCCCUGCAUGAAAUUAUAUAGGUCAACUCAAUCCAUCACCUUGGAACAUGUGGUACAAGCAUUAGAUGAUACCAUAGGAAUUGCAGUGGAAAGAUCAGAUAUAGGUAGCAAGCAAUUAGCAAGUAAAGCAUCGCUAGUUGCAGUGAAAAAAGCUUCCCAAUAAUGUGGUGGAGGGAUACUAUUGACAGCUUCGAUAUUGAUCUCGAAAAGCUCUUCUUCUCCUUCUUCAUCUUCAUUUUUCAUCUUUGUUAUAAUCUGGGUUUCGCUGCUCUUUCCUCCAUGAUCUACAAUUUCAUCUCUGAAACUGAACGAAGCCAUUGAUUUCAGUGUUGAGUUUGUGAAAGUUUGGAGCAUCCAGUUUGCGUUUAAAUAUGUGGAGAUGGGGGGUUUGGGGUUAGUGGGGUUGAGGGAAUAGGUGGUAAGUAGAACGCUCUUCAACAAAUUCACAACAGAGUUUGGUCAAAACAAGCGACAAAAUCAAAAAUCACUUUUCGGACUCUUGACGUUGCUUUUCCCAUGGGUUAAAGUACCAUUUAGUCAAAUUGUAUUUUAUCAUCUUUGAUAAAAAAAAAAGUAAAUUAAUUCUUAUACAUUAAAUCAAAAAGUAAAUUAAUCAUUUCUGUUCAAAUUUUCAUCCAUUCAUACUAUUAAAAAUUGAUCUGACUAAUAGAAUAAUUAGAUAGUAACAUGUGGCAUGCCAUAAGUAAAAAUGCUGACGUACAAGGACCAAUUUAUUUCGUAUAAUGAAAGGAUUUUUUAUAUCUGCUUUACAGUUUACUAAGAUUAAUCAUUUCAAAGUUCAUAGUUACCUUUUCCAAUAAUGCCAUGUUCAGGGCUCAAAUCCGAGUUCUCUCCAAAAGUGUAACGUGACAUACCAUUCUAUCUGCUACCUGUAGAUAUAUUUAAGCUUCCUUUAACAACUACAUUUACCAUGGCAAUUUCUCUUGGGAUAAAUAUCAAUUUGAUAUAUGAACUUUAAUUUGGUACAAUUAUACACAUGAAACUUGAAUCGUGUUUUAUAUUUAUGUAUGACACUUUGAUUUUGAAUUCAAUCAUACAAAUUUAAAGAAAUGAAUACAUACGUUUAUUUUCAUAUUGAAUUAAUAUAAUUAUUUGUGUAUGCAAUCUAUCAACAUAAAACCGUGCCAAUUAGAUAAUAUUGUUAAUAAUUUGUGAAAAAUGAAUUAAAUCAAAAUUUUAUGUAUAGAAUUAUACAAAAUCAAACUUUUUAAUAUUUUUUUUAUUUUUCUUUAAUCUCAUUUUUUAACUAAAAGUAAAUAUUUAAAUUAUUUAACAUAUAAGGUGGAAAAAAUAUUUUUUCCCUAAAAGAAAUUGUAUAAAAGAAAAAAUGUUGUGUCAAUUAAACUUGGGGGUUGGUAUCCUAAUUAACUGUUCUUAGUAUGACAUACAUAUUUUUACAAAUUAGUUUUCCAAUAAGGACGAAAAAGAAAGUAGAGAUUUGUUGUCCCUGUUUUAUUGGAUAAAAUAAACAUUCCAAUACUAAAAAACAAAGGAUGUUGGUCUAAUUACGAACUUUGUAAAGUCAACCUUAAAUCGUAUGAUCUCAUUGUACUAUUUUCCAUGACAAUGGAUAUGUCAUUCUCAAAAGGGUAAAUUAUUAGUAAAUUUUUAUUUUUGUUAUUCAAUUUUAAAAAAUUAUUAAAUAAUUAUUGAAUUAUUUGAAAGUAUUCAUUUAAAUUAAGUUGCUAAAAUGAUUGUUAGAUAGUAUUCUUUGCUUAUACCGUAUGUCAAUCGAAAACUCUCAUUCCUCUUUUCUUUUACAGUCCGAUGUUUUUUAUGAAACAGCUUUUAAUAUUACAAAUCUUCGAACCAAAAUCUAAAUAACUUUCUUUUUUGAUAUUUGAAACUGACUAUUAAACUGAUUUAAACUUGGUAUAUGUGCUUCUACUUAUUGAUAAGUAUUGAUCCAUUAUACCAAUCAUUGUAUUGUUGUUUGGAGUGGGCUAAGAGAUGUUAAAUCCACCACCGCUCCACAGUCGGCAUACUCUAGUUCACAACCCAUUCUGCUACACUAUGAACCUACUCUGCUCCGUUUCAAUUUAUUUUUUACUACUUAUUUUUAUCAUUUCAAUUUUUCAAAUACAAGUAAAUAUUUAAAUAUAAAAUUUUCAAUAAUUUAAACACAAUUCUCUAAAUAAUAUAUUUAAAUAUAAAACAUAUGAAUUUUUCCAUACCACAAUAUUAUAUUUUCUCUUUUAGUAAUUAUAUUUGUACAAGGAUAAAAUGUUCAUAUACUGAAAAAAGAGGAGGCGAAAUAAGCAAUUACCAUAAAUACACUAUAUCUAUCAUAAAUACUCCAUAUCCACUAUAAAAAAGAAAUUUCCACUCACCCCAAUAAAUUAUUUUUAAUUUAAAUUAAUUUUAAUAGAGUUAAUUAAUAAAUUUAAUCAUUACAAAGAUUAUAGUUAUCAUCAAUUAUACUGAUUGCCAAUACUUUUAACUCUUAUUUUUUUUAUUGUUUUAAAAUGAUAAAACUUGUCAAAGUGAAGUGAUGGGUUUGAGAGGUAGAGCCAACUGCUACAACACAAGAUAAUAAAAAAAUUUUAAUCGAAAAAGGGAAAGGAAAUUGAAAGCAACAUUUAAGAAAUCCAAUUGUCUCAACAACCAAACUCAAAAACAGCAUUUCUUUGUUUAGUUCAAUGGUAGUUGUGUUUUUAAGGAAAAUUAAAGGAAUACAAACAAUUAAUAAAAAAUUAUUUUAUUAUUAAAUCUUUUUUAAGACUAGAAUUAGUCCUUCAUGGUCUUAUUGGCCAACUAACAAAAUCAACAAUCAUAUAAUUUUAUACACUUAUCAAUUAAUCAGAUGAUGAUGAAACGUGAUAAAAAAUGUUUUUAGUUCAAUAAAAUCUUGAAAAAGACUUUAGCUUCAGCUUGGGCAUACCCCAUACAUGCUCUAGGACCCUUGGUGCUUAAAAAAUAUUGAAUAUUAAACCUAUAUAUUACCUAUAGUUAAAGGAUGAAAGGGAUUAUGUCCCUUGUGCAAGACUGAAAUAGUAAUACAUAUUUACACAUCCCACCAACAAUAAGAAUGCAGGUAAAAGAAAAGGUAAAUUUGCAGCUUGCAGAUGUAAUCUACGCAUAUAGCAGUUUUGAAGAAAACUAUUAGAACUAGAAGUUAUGCUAUUAAGUUCCAUGCCUACUAUAGAAACCUGCAGUCCUACCUACGCGCUCUUAAAAUUCUAUACUUAAAAGCCUGUAAUAUAUCCAAGACUGAAAACCUGUGAAAGUAUUGUGACGACAUUGUAAAGACCCUUUGAACUAAAAGUUAUGCUUUUCGGGCCAAUGUCUACCAUAGAAACCUGCAUGUCUUGCGUAUGUACUCUAAGAAUUCAAUACUUAAAAGGAGUCAUACAAAGUAAUCAGUAUUCCAAGAUUCAGAACUUAUGAAUGCUUCGUGACAACAUCCCACCUUAGAAACGAGCAAGAUAUAUGAGGUUUAAGGAAGAAAACAGCAACAAUCAAGAGAAUUAGGUUUGUAAAACUAGUUAGAAAAAAGUAGGGACAGCAUAUAUAUACAUACAUAUAUAAAAGACUUUCUUGCAAGUGAAGUUACUAGACUUUCCUGCAAAUAAAAUUUUAUUUUUAACCCUAAACCCUGAAGAAAACUAAUAAUCUUUGCUGUCUAAAAUAAAUCUGUAGGUAACUUAAUCGCAUAAGAAUUAGAGCUUGCUAAAUUUGUAGGGCACUCAAUCACACAAGUCAGAAACAUUAAAAACUGGACUGAUAUGCAAAUCUGUUGGCAACUCAAUCACAUGAGAUGAGCAUUAGAAUUUAUUUUCUUUAACAUCUUACAUGACCUAAACUUCUUUGGCUUCAAUUUGUGAUGAGUUCCCUAAAACUGAACUUAAUUUAUAUUUAGUCUAAUGAUGUAAAUCCAAGCACUAAUGCACAGAGUCUAUAUUAUAAAAUGAUACCUCAAAAACUUCCACAGCAAAAAACUGAUCUAAAUUUAUAUUUAGCCUGUAAAACUGUAAAAAGAGAUAAAAAUCAUCAUUAUUCUCAAGAGAAUCAAGGACCCAAAGUGAAAAACAAUCUUUCCUCAUGCCCAAAGAGAUGUUUUCUCCUUAUUGCCUUAAUAUGCUUUGCCAGGAUGAGUAAAUAGUUUUAUUGAAGAUAAUGGCUAACACCAAUGAUCUCUCAGAACCCAUCUCCAACAACAUAGUACUUGAUAAAACAGAAUGAUCAGAGUAACUUGAUCAUGAAUUAUAUCUAAUAUUGACGCAAAUAGAAAACAAUGAAGAAGGUAAAAUCCUAUUUCAAGCCCUCAAACGAACUUAUCUUCUAUCUUAUGUGGACCCCUGAUUCAGGUACGUGUUUCUACUCAAUAAAAUGAACCAUUGGAUAGCUUGAUGAUGAAUAAAACUAAUAGUCAAGUAAAAAGAUAAUGAAGAAGGAAAAAGCCUAUUUCAAGUCCUCAAACAAGUUUAUCUUCUUCUAUCUUAAGUGGACUCUUGAUUAGGGUACAUGAUUGUACUCAAUAAAACAAAAUCAUCCGACUAGCUUGAUCAUUAAUGAAAUCAAAUAUUCAUGCAAAUAGGUGACGAUGAAGAAGGUAAAAUCCCAUUUCAAGCCCUCAAACAAGUUUAUCUUAUCUUACGUGGACCCAUAAUUCAAGUCCGUGUUUCUACUCAAUAAAACAGAACCAUCCGGAUAGCUUGAUAAUGAAUUAAAUCUAAUAGUCAUGCAGAGAGAUGACAAUGAAAAAGGGAAAAGCCUAUUGCAAGUCCUCAAACAAGUUUAUCUUCUUCUACCUUAAGUGGAUUUGUGAUUAGGGUACAUGUUUGUACUCGAUAAAACGGAACCAUGCAAAUAGCUAGAUCAUGAAUAAAUCAAAUAUUCAUGCAAAUAGGUGAUAAUGAAGAAGGUAAAUUCCCAUUUCACGUCCUCAAACAAGUUUAUCUUCUUCUAUCUUACUCAGGCUCAGGAUUCGGGGAGCUUGAUCAUGAAUUAAAUCCAAAAUUCACGUGAUCGAAUAAUAAUGAAGAAAGUAAAAGCCUAUUUCAAGUCCUCAAACAAGUUUAUAUUUUUCUAUAUUAGUCGGACUUGGGAUUCGGGUUCAUGUCAAACACAAAUAUGCUCAAUAAUUUUUUCUAAAAAAAUUAGGAUACAUUUGAAAGAUCAUAUAGAUACCCAUGUCAAGUGAAAAAGAGCUCAAUACAAACCGAGUAAUAACUUUGAGCUAAAAAGGCAAAUUUCUAUGAAAUUUCAGUUCUGUUCAACAUUGUAGAUAUCAAAAUUCAACCAAAAAAGAGAAAAAAAAAGAAAACCUCUUUAGAAUACAUAGCAAUUAGUAUCCACUAAAAGAACCUAACCCUAGAUACAAGCAAAUUGUACUUCAAUUAAAAUAUAACAAGAAGCGAAAACAAAGUGUAGAUUAAGAAACAAGCGUACGAUAUAAGGCCGCGAUGUUCUUCACCUCCAUCAGCAAGUGCCACCAUUAA